This 650-nucleotide ribosomal RNA is filed under the name uncultured marine bacterium. Its description in RNAcentral is "bacterial SSU rRNA". It matches the Rfam family "Bacterial small subunit ribosomal RNA", at positions 740 to 1390 of the family's 1533-position model. The record is from RNAcentral.
CUGACGCUCAUGGACGAAAGCCAGGGGAGCGAAAGGGAUUAGAUACCCCUGUAGUCCUGGCCGUAAACGAUGAACACUAGGUGUCGGGGGAAUCGACCCCCUCGGUGUCGUAGCCAACGCGUUAAGUGUUCCGCCUGGGGAGUACGCACGCAAGUGUGAAACUCAAAGGAAUUGACGGGGGCCCGCACAAGCGGUGGAGUAUGUGGUUUAAUUCGAUGCAACGCGAAGAACCUUACCAGGGUUUGACAUCCUGUGAAUCUCUUGGAAACAGGAGAGUGCCUUCGGGAACGCAGUGACAGGUGGUGCAUGGCUGUCGUCAGCUCGUGUCGUGAGAUGUUGGGUUAAGUCCCGCAACGAGCGCAACCCACGUCUUUAGUUGCCAGCAUUUAGUUGGGCACUCUAGAGAGACUGCCGGUGAUAAACCGGAGGAAGGUGUGGAUGACGUCAAGUCAUCAUGCCCCUUACAUCCUGGGCUACACACGUACUACAAUGCUACGGACAAAGGGCAGCAAGUUCGCGAGGACAAGCAAAUCCCAUAAACCGUGGCUCAGUUCAGAUCGUAGGCUGCAACUCGCCUACGUGAAGGCGGAAUCGCUAGUAAUCGCAGGUCAGCAUACUGCGGUGAAUACGUUCCCGGGCCUUGUACACAC